This 476-nucleotide ribosomal RNA is filed under the name uncultured bacterium. RNAcentral describes it as "SSU rRNA". It matches the Rfam family "Bacterial small subunit ribosomal RNA", at positions 26 to 518 of the family's 1533-position model. The record is from RNAcentral.
AGAAUCAACGCUGGCGGCGUGCCUAACACAUGCAAGUCGAACGAGAAAGUGGAGCAAUCCAUGAGUAAAGUGGCGACCGGGUGAGUAACACGUGACCAAUCUACCCUUGAGUGGGGGAUAACCUCGGGAAACCGGGGCUAAUACCGCAUAACAUCCUCGGGACGGAAGUACUGGGGAUCAAAGGAGCAAUUCGCUUAAGGAGGAGGUCGCGGCUGAUUAGCUAGUUGGCGGGGUAAUGGCCCACCAAGGCAAAGAUCGGUAGCCGGCCUGAGAGGGCGCACGGCCACACUGGAACUGAAACACGGUCCAGACUCCUACGGGAGGCAGCAGUGGGGAAUUUUGCGCAAUGGGGGAAACCCUGACGCAGCAACGCCGCGUGGAGGAUGAAGUCCCUUGGGACGUAAACUCCUUUCGACCCGGACGAUAAUGACGGUACGGGUGGAAGAAGCCCCGGCUAACUUCGCGCCAGCAGCCGC